UGUAAUAUGUAGUUUUGUAUGUUGUGUUAAUACUACAUCACAUUUUUCAAAAUGAUAACACGUACAGUAAUUCUUCUGAAGACAUGACACAAAUUUAAUAUUAAUAGGCCAUAAAUUGGGUUUGUUUUUACACUUUUAACACUUUUGUCUCCUCUUUCUUACUCACAUUACAGAUGCAGAGAUUGCCGUUACAGUUGAUGGUACAUUAAAGGUCUUCCUGUCCAUUCUCAUUGACUUAAUUGCAGACUUCUUACUAGCUCUUGUUGUUCACAGAGACUCGUGGCAGAUAUAUGAUGCUAUUGUAAUUCAUCCUUGUGAGCCAGGAGUAACUGAAUGGAUCAAUGUCUAUAACCUAAAACGGUGCGUCUUGUAGUGACGGACCAGUUUCUGAUCUAUGUUGGACGGGACAGGGUCACCACUCCCUUGUAUAUCAGGAUUUGUGUAUUUUAAUGGGAUUAAUGGAUAUAUACCUGACGAACCAGUUCCUGAUCUUUGUUGGACGGGACAGGGUCACCACUCCCUUGUAUAUCAGGAUUUGUGUCUUUUAAAGUCAUUUAUUGAUAUUUUCGGUGCGUCUUGUUGUCACGGAUGCUUGUGUUAAAAUUGGCUACAGGCAAGGACAACCUCAGCCUAACAUGUGUUAAUCAUUUGAUUGUUGACUGUUGAGUUGGGGGACUACUGUUUGUUAUCCAUUGUACCUGUUGAAUGGACACAAUGCAGUAUCAACUCGGUUGCAAUGGAAGUUGAUGUUCUCGUUUUCCUGGUGUAUGGCAGCUUAAGUGAAGCAUGGAUUUCAACAAAUAAGCGAGUAGGAAACUUGCCAUUAUUGAUUCUACCAGAUAACACUGCUAUUUUUCCAUUACUAAAUGCAGUUUUGUUUUUAUUGAUAAUUCUAUUUAUUGUAGCUUUUGCGAGCAAGUGACAGCAUUAAUGUUUUGCUAUAAAUAUAAUAUUGCAUUAAUGAAUAUUAUUACAGUCUCCAUGAAAAUGAUUACUUUGUUAUGAAUUAAAGUUUAUGAUAAUUUAGUCUCACAUGAUUAAGUGAGAAACAGGAAGGGAAUACGCUAACUUUGCACACGAUGAAUUUUGUUCUGAAAGAGUGAAGGUGUUGAUAAAACUUUGUAUAUAUAGAUGGCAAAAAGCAUCUGUUGAACCUAAAUUAUGACUAAAAUUAUUAUUAUAGGCAUAUAAAAUAAUAUCUUAUGUUUGAUGUAAUACACAAUAGUCUCU
RNAcentral lists this long non-coding RNA (1230 nucleotides) under Amphimedon queenslandica. RNAcentral describes it as "uncharacterized LOC109581067, transcript variant X2". The record is from RNAcentral. Lineage: Eukaryota; Metazoa; Porifera; Demospongiae; Haplosclerida; Niphatidae.